Molecule: long non-coding RNA, 411 nt
Filed under: Canis lupus familiaris (dog)
Lineage: Eukaryota; Metazoa; Chordata; Mammalia; Carnivora; Canidae
Description: lncRNA (ENSCAFG00040016742.1)
Source: RNAcentral
AUGCAUUCCUUGAUAUGUUUAUUGCUUCCUACAGAAUUUAAGUAUUUGAUCCAGUUUUUUCUCCAGCAACCACCUUUGUUGCCCACCAGCCCAAAAGAGAGAGAUGAAGAGAUAAAUACUGGACUACAGGGAGUAAGGUGCUGCAUGGCCAUAUCAAGCUACUUGUAAGGUGAAGUCUGGGUUUCUGAAAAAGCCAUAUAUCUCUUGAAGCUUCUCAAACAGAAACAAUUUUUUUUUCAUUCCAUACUCAUGGAUUAUGAAGACUGUAAGAAAAUGCAGUGUUUCCUUCAUUCUUAUUAUAACUGUUGAUUAUUUCUUUUUUUGCUUUUUCCCUCAAAAAAAAAAAACAAACAAACAAGAACAGUUCUUUUGAAACAUACAAAUCCAUACAAUACCUUUUGAUUGCUUUCU